This 620-nucleotide ribosomal RNA is filed under the name Babesia vogeli. RNAcentral's name for it is "SSU rRNA". Lineage: Eukaryota; Apicomplexa; Aconoidasida; Piroplasmida; Babesiidae. The record is from RNAcentral.
CCAAUCCUGACACAGGGAGGUAGUGACAAGAAAUAACAAUACAGGGCUAAUGUCUUGUAAUUGGAAUGAUGGUGACCCAAACCCUCACCAGAGUAGCAAUUGGAGGGCAAGUCUGGUGCCAGCAGCCGCGGUAAUUCCAGCUCCAAUAGCGUAUAUUAAACUUGUUGCAGUUAAAAAGCUCGUAGUUGAAUUUUAGCGUGUUCGAGUUUGCCAUUCGUUUGGCUUUUUCGAGUUCGCUUUUGGGUUUUCCCUUUUUACUUUGAGAAAAUUAGAGUGUUUCAAGCAGACUUUUGUCUUGAAUACUUCAGCAUGGAAUAAUAGAGUAGGACUUUGGUUCUAUUUUGUUGGUUAUUGAACCUUAGUAAUGGUUAAUAGGAACGGUUGGGGGCAUUCGUAUUUAACUGUCAGAGGUGAAAUUCUUAGAUUUGUUAAAGACGAACUACUGCGAAAGCAUUUGCCAAGGACGUUUCCWUUAAUCAAGAACGAAAGUUAGGGGAUCGAAGACGAUCAGAUCMCCKYCSUAGUCCUAACCAUAAACCAUGCCGACUAGUGAUUGGAGGUCGUCGUUUUGCUGACCCCUUCAGGAACUUGAGAGAAAUCAAAGUCUUUGGGUUCUGGGG